Transfer RNA from Gossypium arboreum, 73 nucleotides. It matches the Rfam family "tRNA". Rfam says of the family: Transfer RNA (tRNA) molecules are approximately 80 nucleotides in length. Their secondary structure includes four short double-helical elements and three loops (D, anti-codon, and T loops). NCBI's taxonomy places the organism in Eukaryota, Viridiplantae, Streptophyta, Magnoliopsida, Malvales, Malvaceae. The record is from Rfam.
GCCGUUUUUGCUCAGUCGGUAGAUAGCAUGGCUUUUAACCAUGUGGUCGUGCGUUCGAUUCCCACAGACGGCG